Molecule: long non-coding RNA, 310 nt
Filed under: Mytilus galloprovincialis (Mediterranean mussel)
Lineage: Eukaryota; Metazoa; Mollusca; Bivalvia; Mytilida; Mytilidae
Source: RNAcentral
GCUCUUCAACUUUGUACAUGUUUUGGCUGUAUCAAUAUUUCGAUUUGAGCGUCACUGAUGAGUCUUAUGUAGACGAAACGCGCGUCUGGCGUACUAAAUUAUAAUCCUGGUACUUUUGAUAACUAUUCAACUCCUGCCAGGUACUUCUAUACUUCGAUCAAAACCCUAAUACAAUUAUUAAAUUAUUAAAAAUACACGUAAUUAGAAAAUUCAUAAUUAAUAUCUUAUCUAACUUCAGUAUAAUAACCAUAUUUUGGAUCAACGUUUAAAACAUAUGAACUUAUCCCAAGUCAGGAGCCUCUGGCCUUUG